RNAcentral lists this transfer RNA (83 nucleotides) under Verrucomicrobiota bacterium. RNAcentral describes it as "Verrucomicrobia bacterium tRNA-Leu". RNAcentral also lists the same sequence under 1 other name. Lineage: Bacteria; Pseudomonadati; Verrucomicrobiota. The record is from RNAcentral.
GCAUUUGUAAUCAAUGCAGACACGCAACCUUGAGGUGGUUGUGCCCAAAAGACGUGAAGGUUCGAGUCCUUUCGAGCGCACCA